GUAGUCGUGGCCGAGUGGUUAAGGCGAUGGACUUGAAAUCCGUUGGGGUCUCCCCGCGCAGGUUCGAAUCCUGCCGGCUACG
This 82-nucleotide transfer RNA is filed under the name Felis catus (domestic cat). RNAcentral's name for it is "tRNA-Ser (TGA) (tRNA-Ser-TGA-3-1)". It matches the Rfam family "tRNA". Rfam says of the family: Transfer RNA (tRNA) molecules are approximately 80 nucleotides in length. Their secondary structure includes four short double-helical elements and three loops (D, anti-codon, and T loops). Further hydrogen bonds mediate the characteristic L-shaped molecular structure. tRNAs have two regions of fundamental functional importance: the anti-codon, which is responsible for specific mRNA codon recognition, and the 3' end, to which the tRNAs corresponding amino acid is attached (by aminoacyl-tRNA synthetases). tRNAs cope with the degeneracy of the genetic code in two manners: having more than one tRNA (with a specific anti-codon) for a particular amino acid; and 'wobble' base-pairing, i.e. permitting non-standard base-pairing at the 3rd anti-codon position. Lineage: Eukaryota; Metazoa; Chordata; Mammalia; Carnivora; Felidae. The record is from Rfam by way of RNAcentral.